UGGGGAGUGGUGAAAUGGUAUCACAAUGGACUUUGGAUCCAUUUUUCUAGGUUCGAAUCCUAGCUCCCCAGCCA
This 74-nucleotide transfer RNA is filed under the name Candidatus Roizmanbacteria bacterium CG_4_8_14_3_um_filter_36_10. RNAcentral's name for it is "tRNA-Gln". It matches the Rfam family "tRNA". Rfam says of the family: Transfer RNA (tRNA) molecules are approximately 80 nucleotides in length. RNAcentral also lists the same sequence under 2 other names. The record is from RNAcentral. Lineage: Bacteria; Candidatus Roizmaniibacteriota.